UACAGAGGGUGCAAGCGUUAAUCGGAAUUACUGGGCGUAAAGCGUGCGUAGACGGUUACAUAAGUCGGGUGUGAAAGCCCCGGGCUCAACCUGGGAAUUGCAUUCGAGACUGCGUAGCUAGGGUGCGGAAGAGGGAAGCGGAAUUUCCGGUGUAGCGGUGAAACGCGUAGAUAUCGGAAGGAACACCAGUGGCGAAAGCGGCUUCCUGGUCCAGCACCGACGUUCAGGCACGAAAGCGUGGGGAGCAAACAGG
This 253-nucleotide ribosomal RNA is filed under the name uncultured bacterium. RNAcentral describes it as "partial 16S ribosomal RNA". It matches the Rfam family "Bacterial small subunit ribosomal RNA", at positions 524 to 776 of the family's 1533-position model. The record is from RNAcentral.